RNAcentral lists this ribosomal RNA (365 nucleotides) under uncultured eukaryote. RNAcentral describes it as "partial 18S ribosomal RNA". It matches the Rfam family "Eukaryotic small subunit ribosomal RNA", at positions 592 to 975 of the family's 1831-position model. The record is from RNAcentral.
CAAUAGCGUAUAUUAACGUUGUUGCAGUUAAAAAGCUCGUAGUUGGAUUUCUGGAGGGAGCGUCGGCCCGUAUUUACGAGUGCGUGACGUCUCUGUCCAUCCUUGCGGGAAGGCACGGCAUUGAUUUGUUGUGUCGGAUCGCAUCAUUUACUGUGAAAAAAUUAGAGUGUUCAAAGCAGGCUUUCGCUUGAAUACAUUAGCAUGGAAUAAUAAGAUAGGACUUUGGUGCUGUUUUGUUGGUUGAGCCUAAAGUAAUGAUUAAUAGGGAUAGUUGGGGGCACCUGUAUUGCGUUGUCAGAGGUGAAAUUCUUGGAUUUACGCAAGACAAACAGCUGCGAAAGCGUCUGCCAAGGAUGUUUNCAUUA